GGCAAGGUGUCCGAGUGGUUAUGGAGCUGCGUUUAGGCCGCAGUGGCUUUGCCUCGUGGGUUCGAAUCCCACCCGUAAGUUU
This 82-nucleotide transfer RNA is filed under the name Exutisphaerella laricina CBS 326.52. RNAcentral describes it as "tRNA-Leu (TAG) (tRNA-Leu-TAG-1-1)". The stretch from base 6 to 74 matches the Rfam family "tRNA", at positions 6 to 65 of the family's 71-position model. Rfam says of the family: Transfer RNA (tRNA) molecules are approximately 80 nucleotides in length. Their secondary structure includes four short double-helical elements and three loops (D, anti-codon, and T loops). Lineage: Eukaryota; Fungi; Ascomycota; Dothideomycetes; Mycosphaerellales; Mycosphaerellaceae. The record is from RNAcentral.